UACGAAGGGGGCUAGCGUUGUUCGGAAUUACUGGGCGUAAAGCGCACGUAGGCGGAUUGUUAAGUGAGGGGUGAAAUCCCAGGGCUCAACCCUGGAACUGCCUUUCAUACUGGCAAUCUCGAGUCCGAGAGAGGUGGGUGGAAUUCCGAGUGUAGAGGUGAAAUUCGUAGAUAUUCGGAGGAACACCAGUGGCGAAGGCGGCUCACUGGACCGGCAUUGACGCUGAGGUGCGAAAGCGUGGGGAGCAAACAGGAUUAGAAACCCGUGUAGU
RNAcentral lists this ribosomal RNA (271 nucleotides) under uncultured bacterium. RNAcentral's name for it is "partial 16S ribosomal RNA". It matches the Rfam family "Bacterial small subunit ribosomal RNA", at positions 524 to 794 of the family's 1533-position model. The record is from RNAcentral.